UUCUUGGAGGCCUUGUCGAGGUCCUCUCCCAUCUUUCACUGUGCUCUCCUUUUGGGCGAAAGCUCUAGUUCCCCUUGUGGGCGACAGCGUCGUACCCUCGUCGUGCUCCUUCUUGAAGGCGUCGCCUCGGGUUCCCGGAAGCACGGUGGGCGCUUUGCGGUGUGUGUGAGGUGUUUGGCGGCGGCAAUGUGUGCAACGUUUCAUCUAUUCUACCGCCGGUCUUCAUCUUGUGAUAGCGCUCCUUCGGCUUGGAGAUGGACUGGCAUAGGUGGUGGUCGUCAUUUGGCGUCAUGGUGGCGUCGACGGCGGAGGAACCUGCCAAGGUUGGUACCUCAAUCUGCUCUGAAGAUGGACAAGUGAAAGAUGGUGGCGACGACACAUGUGAGUGCGUCGGACUGGAUUGUGCCCCAGACCCGGUACGUGGCUCGGUCGGGGCUUCCAGCUUUAGAUGUUAGGCUUAGGUGAGAGGACUGGGUAUAUGGCCCAGCUUGCACCCCUUCAUCAUAUGGAUAGGAGUAGCGGCAUAGGUUGCCAAGAUGGCGGAUUCAGACAUAUUGUUGUACUACUUUGUAAGGUCCUCGAGAAUAAUCAAUAAAAUGACCGCAUGCAUCUCCCAGAUGCAGAGGCCGGGGGUCAUCCUCCUUUUCUAAAAAAAAA
Molecule: long non-coding RNA, 657 nt
Filed under: Triticum aestivum (bread wheat)
Lineage: Eukaryota; Viridiplantae; Streptophyta; Magnoliopsida; Poales; Poaceae
Description: long non-coding RNA (TAES_LNC026512)
Source: RNAcentral